UGGGGAAUUUUGGACAAUGGACGCAAGUCUGAUCCAGCCAUGCCGCGUGCGGGAAGAAGGCCUUCGGGUUGUAAACCGCUUUUGUCAGGGAAGAAACGAGUUUCUCUAAUACAGAGACUUAAUGACGGUACCUGAAGAAUAAGCACCGGCUAACUACGUGCCAGCAGCCGCGGUAAUACGUAGGGUGCAAGCGUUAAUCGGAAUUACUGGGCGUAAAGCGUGCGCAGGCGGUUAUGUAUGACAGAUGUGAAAUCCCCGGGCUCAACCUGGGACCUGCAUUUGUGACUGCAUAGCUAGAGUACGGCAGAGGGGGAUGGAAUUCCGCGUGUGGCAGUGAAAUGCGUAGAUAUGCGGAGGAACACCGAUGGCGAAGGCAAUCCCCUGGGCCUGUACUGACGCUCAUGCACGAAAGCGUGGGGAGCAAACA
RNAcentral lists this ribosomal RNA (427 nucleotides) under uncultured bacterium. RNAcentral describes it as "bacterial SSU rRNA". It matches the Rfam family "Bacterial small subunit ribosomal RNA", at positions 355 to 774 of the family's 1533-position model. The record is from RNAcentral.